This 518-nucleotide ribosomal RNA is filed under the name Pseudoeurycea goebeli (Goebel's false brook salamander). RNAcentral's name for it is "partial 16S ribosomal RNA". It matches the Rfam family "Bacterial large subunit ribosomal RNA", at positions 1817 to 2597 of the family's 2925-position model. The record is from RNAcentral. Lineage: Eukaryota; Metazoa; Chordata; Amphibia; Caudata; Plethodontidae.
CGCCUUUUGAACUAUAAACAUAAAAGGUCCUGCCUGCCCAGUGACACUGUUUCAACGGCCGCGGUAUCAUGACCGUGCAAAGGUAGCGUAAUCACUUGUCUUUUAAAUAAAGACCAGUAUGAACGGCAAGACGAAAGCCUAACUGUCUCCCCAAGUCAAUCAAUGAAAUUGAUCUUCCCGUGCAGAAGCGGGAAUAACAAUAUAAGACGAGAAGACCCUGUGGAGCUUCAAACUUUAAGCUAACAGAUCAAAAUGCCUUAGCACACAGUUUUAGGUUGGGGCGACCAUGAGGUAAAACAAAACCCUCAAGACAAAAACUAAGAAGGACACUUCAAAUAAAUAACAAUAGCGUAAUUGACCCAAUAAUUGAUCAACGAACCAAGUUACCCCAGGGAUAACAGCGCAAUCUACUCAAAGAGCCCUUAUCGACGAGCAGGUUUACGACCUCGAUGUUGGAUCAGGACCCCCAAAUAAUGUAACAAUUAUUAAAGGUUCGUUUGUUCAACGAUUAAAGUCCU